RNAcentral lists this unclassified non-coding RNA (273 nucleotides) under uncultured fungus. RNAcentral describes it as "partial contains small subunit ribosomal RNA, internal transcribed spacer 1, and 5.8S ribosomal RNA". The stretch from base 1 to 73 matches the Rfam family "Eukaryotic small subunit ribosomal RNA", at positions 1759 to 1831 of the family's 1831-position model. The record is from RNAcentral. Lineage: Eukaryota; Fungi.
UCAAACUUGGUCAUUUAGAGGAAGUAAAAGUCGUAACAAGGUCUCCGUAGGUGAACCUGCGGAGGGAUCAUUACCUAUGUUCCUCGAUCGGCUCCGGCCGACCGACCACAUACACCCCUUCUUUACGCGUACCUUUUGUUCUCCUUCGGCGGGGCAACCCGCCGCUGGAACUACCAUAACCUUUUGCAUCCAGCAUUACCUGUUCCGAUAACCAUAAUCGUUACAACUUUCAACAAUGGAUCUCUUGGCUCUGGCAUCGAUGAAGAACGCAGC